UUGGAUGGACUCGCGGCCUAUCAGCUUGUUGGUGAGGUAAUGGCUCACCAAGGCGACGACGGGUAGCCGGCCUGAGAGGGUGACCGGCCACACUGGGACUGAGACACGGCCCAGACUCCUACGGGAGGCAGCAGUGGGGAAUAUUGCACAAUGGGCGCAAGCCUGAUGCAGCGACGCCGCGUGAGGGAUGACGGCCUUCGGGUUGUAAACCUCUUUC
RNAcentral lists this ribosomal RNA (217 nucleotides) under marine sediment bacterium BB0608_2216_6.2_3S0. Its description in RNAcentral is "partial 16S ribosomal RNA". It matches the Rfam family "Bacterial small subunit ribosomal RNA", at positions 221 to 437 of the family's 1533-position model. The record is from RNAcentral.